RNAcentral lists this ribosomal RNA (637 nucleotides) under uncultured bacterium. RNAcentral describes it as "bacterial SSU rRNA". It matches the Rfam family "Bacterial small subunit ribosomal RNA", at positions 607 to 1244 of the family's 1533-position model. The record is from RNAcentral.
GCUCAACCGGGGAGGGUCAUUGGAAACUGGGGAACUUGAGUGCAGAAGAGGAGAGUGGAAUUCCACGUGUAGCGGUGAAAUGCGUAGAGAUGUGGAGGAACACCAGUGGCGAAGGCGACUCUCUGGUCUGUAACUGACGCUGAGGCGCGAAAGCGUGGGGAGCGAACAGGAUUAGAUACCCUGGUAGUCCACGCCGUAAACGAUGAGUGCUAAGUGUUAGAGGGUUUCCGCCCUUUAGUGCUGCAGCAAACGCAUUAAGCACUCCGCCUGGGGAGUACGGUCGCAAGACUGAAACUCAAAGGAAUUGACGGGGGCCCGCACAAGCGGUGGAGCAUGUGGUUUAAUUCGAAGCAACGCGAAGAACCUUACCAGGUCUUGACAUCCUCUGACAACCCUAGAGAUAGGGCUUCCCCUUCGGGGGCAGAGUGACAGGUGGUGCAUGGUUGACGUCAGCUCGUGUCGUGAGAUAUUGGGUUAAGUCCCGCAACGAGCGCAACCCUUGAUCUUAGUUGCCAGCAUUCAGUUGGGCACUCUAAGGCGACUGCCGGUGACAAACCGGAGGAAGGUGGGGAUGACGUCAAAUCAUCAUGCCCCUUAUGACCUGGGCUACACACGUGCUACAAUGGGCAGAACAAAG